ACAGGUGCUGCAUGGCUGUCGUCAGCUCGUGUCGUGAGAUGUUGGGUUAAGUCCCGUAACGAGCGCAACCCUCGUUCUUAGUUGCCAGCGGUUCGGCCGGGGACUCUAGGAGUACUGCCGGUGAUAAACCGGAGGAAGGUGGGGACGAUGUCAAGUCAUCAUGGCCUUUAUGAGUAGGGCUACACACGUGCUACAAUGGACAGUACAGAGGGAUGCAAUACCGCGAGGUGGAGCAAAUCCCAGAAAGCUGUUCGUAGUCCGGAUUGGAGUCUGCAACUCGACUCCAUGAAGUUGGAAUCGCUAGUAGUCGCGAAUCAGAAUGUCGCGGUGAAUACGUUCUCGGGCCUUGUACACACCGCCCGUCAUACCAUGGGAGUAGAUUGUA
This 385-nucleotide ribosomal RNA is filed under the name uncultured Gammaproteobacteria bacterium. RNAcentral describes it as "bacterial SSU rRNA". It matches the Rfam family "Bacterial small subunit ribosomal RNA", at positions 1034 to 1419 of the family's 1533-position model. Lineage: Bacteria; Pseudomonadati; Pseudomonadota; Gammaproteobacteria. The record is from RNAcentral.